ACCCUUUUUUGUUACGAUGACAAUACUGCUCUUUGAGAUUUUCACCUCAUGCAAUAUCAGCUGCUAGACUCAGGACCCAAAUAUAUUUCUAAGCUCCGUAAGAUUUUAAUCUCAAGAACUUCCCAUCUCUUUGGUACCCACAAUUCAACAUGACAUCGACCUCACUUCAUCCAUACUUUUGACAAAAGUUCAUUGCAAUUAUGAUAGAUGGUAAGUUCCUACUCGCUUAUCUCUCUCUCUCUCUCCAAACCAUGUGAUGCAUGAGGUUUG
This 270-nucleotide long non-coding RNA is filed under the name Elaeis guineensis (African oil palm). RNAcentral describes it as "long non-coding RNA (EGUI_LNC002116)". Lineage: Eukaryota; Viridiplantae; Streptophyta; Magnoliopsida; Arecales; Arecaceae. The record is from RNAcentral.